AUAGGUAAAUACGAGUGAUUUCGUCUGUAACUUGUCGGUGAUGUGUUCUAUUCCGUGUAUAUGUUGGAUAACCUUAAUGUCUUUCAUCAACUUACAGUCUUAUAACUGAAAACUUACAGUCUGAAUGUCGUGCAGCCGGCCGUCAACUAUUUUGUUCAAACUCAUUGUAUUCUACUGAAUGUGCCAUCGAAAUGAUACAGGAUUCAUCAUAAUUAUCGGCUGUUUCUAGUGGACUUGCUAGAUCAUCAACCCCAGCAUGGACCAAUCUCUCAUUCCAGCUUCUAGAGAAUCUUGGAUAACUGAUUGGCGGUUUCAUGUGAUCUAAACUCCAGGUUUCUAAAUUUGCACGGCAGCCUUUAUGAGAAUUCAUGUCCUUUCAAGUAAGUCAACAAGGUCACUUGUUUACUAACCUUUUGGCUGCUACCCUUGAAUCUCCCUUUUUACUCUCUAAAGACGGGCCAUCUUAAUUUGAGGGUAAUCCUUCGCUACUUGUCAUGGACUUCAUCCACUGGUGAAAACCGACGAGAGAAUGCUGUAAUCCAAGACUGAUAAAUUGUUUAGUCGUUAGAUUAAAUUAAAAGUGCAUAUCUGGGCUCCCUUCUCUUCUGUGGCCCCGUUUCCCUUACUAACCACUAACCAACGCCCGCCGGUGGUCACUCACCCGCUGUGAAACCAGGAGGAGGGGAGGGCUCUGGUCGAACGGGGACUUGGAAGGCGCAUGAUCCGAUGAAAACUUUUGGAGGGUCAUGAGUCUUACCCGGAAGCCUAGUAUGACUACAUCUCCCCGGAAAAACUUGCCUCGUACUUCUCUCUUCUUCUCGGUCCAGAUAAAUAUCUCUGGGGGCCGUAGACAAAACCUAUAACAGCAUGUGCGAGUUUAUAAGAAGCAGCCCACUAUCCAAUGAAAGAAAAAGCCGUGGAUUAGUUUUGCGGACAGUCACGCAGAUUUCCGCUCAAAUAGACCAUCGCUUUUUGUCUCAUUGCCGCAGCGGUGGUGGCGGGUUUGCAAUAAACUCGUACAGUAGCAAAACGUCUUGAACCGGACGCUCUGUUUAUUGAAAU
This is a long non-coding RNA of Daphnia pulex (common water flea), 1062 nucleotides long. RefSeq lists it as uncharacterized. The record is from RefSeq and is a predicted model, not a curated record. The transcript is spliced from 4 exons. NCBI's taxonomy places the organism in Eukaryota, Metazoa, Arthropoda, Branchiopoda, Diplostraca, Daphniidae.